RNAcentral lists this ribosomal RNA (508 nucleotides) under uncultured bacterium. RNAcentral describes it as "partial 16S ribosomal RNA". It matches the Rfam family "Bacterial small subunit ribosomal RNA", at positions 28 to 507 of the family's 1533-position model. The record is from RNAcentral.
GACGAACGCUGGCGGCGUGCUUAACACAUGCAAGUCGAACGGGCCUUGUCCCCUUUUUUUUUGGGGGUGGGGUUAGUGGCGAACGGGGGAGAAACACGGGGGUAACCUGCCCCUCACUUCGGGAUAACCGCUUGAAAGGGUGGCAAAUACGGGGUGUUCGGGCCUGCUCGCAUGGGGGGGUUUGGAAAGCUUCGACCGGUUUUGGUUGUUUUGGGGGGGGAUGGGCUCGCGGCCUAUCAGCCUGUUGGUGGGGUGUGGGCAUGCAAAGGCUUUGACGGGUAGCGGGCGUGAGGGGGUGGGCGGACACUGUGAGACUGAGACACGGCACAGACUCAUACGGGGGGCAGCAGUGGGAAAUAUUGCACAAUGGGCGCAAGCCUGAUGCAGCGACGCCGCGUGAGGGAUGGAGGCCUUCGGGUUGUGAUCCUCUUUCGCCAGUGAAGAAGAUCCUGCUCUUUGUGGUGGGGUUGACGGUAGCUGGGUUAAUGAAGCGCCGGCUAACUACGUG